RNAcentral lists this long non-coding RNA (1067 nucleotides) under Salmo salar (Atlantic salmon). Its description in RNAcentral is "lncRNA (ENSSSAG00000120329.1)". The record is from RNAcentral. Lineage: Eukaryota; Metazoa; Chordata; Actinopteri; Salmoniformes; Salmonidae.
CUUUAUACAGAAGAACAGUGCUGAAAAAAGCAUUACGAAUGUUUAUACUGAUAUCGACUAUUUUACUGUCACGUCUACUCUUGCUCCUCGCCUCUGGCGUUGGAUGUCGCCGGAAUACUAACCACCUGUCCUGGGAUACAUCAAUACGCACACCUGGCAUUCUUCAUUACACGCACCUGUUGAUCAUUAUGAUUCACACCUGGACUCCAUUACCUUCCUCAUUACCUUACAUUUGUUCCUCAGUUGGUAUUGUUCCUGUGUUCAUGCUUUUUCCCCACUGUGAUGUUAUCUCGGUUCAUGGGUUACUAAAUGUUUCACCUGCUUCUCGACUCACAGCGUCUUUGUUACAGAAUACCGACUCAAAAUAGGGAAGCAGCAGGAAAUUCAAAUAUCUCUCAGAUGGUCGAUGAACAGGGUUAUCUUCUACGUCAACACCAUGACCAGCUGGCACAACUGGGAUCGGCUAUGGAGGUUCUUCGUGGUAUGCAACGUCUCAAACACACCCGAGAGGCGUCGCCUUCAUCCAGUGGAGGAUACUCUUCAGCCAGUCGACCCAGCACAUCAGUGACCCCCACUCAGGCCGGUGGUUCCUGGUCCUCUAGCUGUUGCUGCCCCCCCCCCCCGGACAUCGAGGGGAGUCUGACAUAUGCUGUCAGAGCCCUACUGGACUCCUGGUGUCGUGGGGGUCAGCUCCAGUACCUGGUGGACUGGGAGGGGUAUGUAGGGUUCCGGUGGAGGACUUUCUGGAUCCCAACAUCAGCCGUGAUUUCCACCUUCGCCGUCCAGACCGAUCUGCUCCUCAGGGUUGUCCUCUUGGUCGGCGUCGUCCUGCAGCAGGAGCCGCGCGUCGGGGGGCUACUGUCACUUCUGCUCCUCUGGCAUUUGACUUUGCCGGAAUACUAACCACCGGUCCUGGGAUUCUUCAUUACACGCACAUGUUGAUCAUUAUGAUUCACACCUCUUAUCGGUCCCUCCCUUAUGUUUGUUCCUCAGUCGGUAUUCAUGCCACUAAUCUCGUUUCAUGUUUGUUUUAUUAAACGUUUCACCUGCUUCUUGACUCACAGCAU